UACGUAGGGUGCAAGCGCUGUCCGGAAUUAUUGGGCGUAAAGAGCUUGUAGGUGGUUUGUCGCGUCUGCUGUGAAAUUUCGGGGCUCAACCCCGAACUUGCAGUGGGUACGGGCAGACUAGAGUGUGGUAGGGGAGACUGGAAUUCCUGGUGUAGCGGUGAAAUGCGCAGAUAUCAGGAGGAACACCGAUGGCGAAGGCAGGUCUCUGGGCCACUACUGACGCUGAGAAGCGAAAGCAUGGGGAGCGAACGGG
RNAcentral lists this ribosomal RNA (253 nucleotides) under uncultured bacterium. Its description in RNAcentral is "partial 16S ribosomal RNA". It matches the Rfam family "Bacterial small subunit ribosomal RNA", at positions 524 to 776 of the family's 1533-position model. The record is from RNAcentral.